UAUGUGAUCGUCUCUCGCAUAUCAAUAAGCGGAGGAAAAGAAACUAACAAGGAUUCCCCUAGUAACGGCGAGUGAAGCGGGAAGAGCUCAAAUUCGAAAUCUUAAAGGGUUUCCCUUUACGAAUUGUAGUUUAAAGAAGUGUUUUCUGUUGAGGUUUUGGUAAAAGUUCUUUGGAAUAGGACAUCAUAGAGGGUGAGAAUCCCGUAUUUGACCUUUACUUUCAACUUUGUGAUACACUUUCAAAGAGUCGGAUUGUUUGGGAAUGCAGUCCGAAAUGGGUGGUAAAUUUCAUCUAAAGCUAAAUAUUGGCGAGAGACCGAUAGCGAACAAGUACCGUGAGGGAAAGAUGAAAAGAACUUUGAAAAGAGAGUUAAACAGUACGUGAAAUUGUCAAAAGGGAAGCGUUUGACACCAGUGUUGUUUUUCUGAAAAUCAAUUAAAGAACUGUUUAUGCUAAGUUGUUUAGACUUUAUCAGCUAACUGUUUAGUUUUGAGCUUUUCUUUAAUGCACUUUUCAGUUAACAAGUCAACAUCAAUUUCUUUUGCUGUAAAAAAGCUUGAGGAAGGUGGCUUGAGAUUCGUCUUAAGUGUUUAUAGCCUCUUGCCUAUGCAGUCGGAGAGAUUGAGGUCUGCAGCGUAGAUCCUUUGGGGCUAAAUGCAUUUGUGCUAAGUUAUAGCAUUUUAUAGACAACUUGUUGACUAUGAUUUGUCUUGUAGCUUACUCGCUUAUGUUAUUUUACCUACGCUUAGGAUGUUGAUAUGCAUGACUGAUAU
This 774-nucleotide ribosomal RNA is filed under the name uncultured Neocallimastigales. RNAcentral's name for it is "partial large subunit ribosomal RNA". It matches the Rfam family "Eukaryotic large subunit ribosomal RNA", at positions 24 to 636 of the family's 3401-position model. The record is from RNAcentral. Lineage: Eukaryota; Fungi; Neocallimastigomycota; Neocallimastigomycetes; Neocallimastigales.